Canis lupus familiaris (dog) is the source of this 1307-nucleotide long non-coding RNA. RefSeq lists it as uncharacterized. The record is from RefSeq and is a predicted model, not a curated record. Lineage: Eukaryota; Metazoa; Chordata; Mammalia; Carnivora; Canidae. The transcript has 4 exons.
AUUCCAUAAUCACAGCGGGCGAGAGCGGAGACUGGGAGCGAAAAAUCCGGGAUCCGGCAACUUUGGGCAGCGCAUGCGCGCCCGCGGCGCUCCAUCCCAAACACACACACAUUUUUCCCCCGGACUUGGAAAGUCACCCAAAGCCGCCCCAAGUGCAGGCAAACAGACCUCGCUGACCGAAGGCAAAGACCCCUUCCAUCCCACCUGCCCUUCUAGCCGCCACGGUUGUCAACCUCUGCUGUAGAAGGGAAUCCUGCAGCUCAAUCAUUGGAGUGGACUUCGGACCCCGGCCUCUUGGGAUGCAAAGGAUGAAGUAACGCCCCUACUCUGAGAGAGGAGCCUCUAGGACCCACGACGAGGCUUGAGGAACCUCAGGGCCACCGGGCCUCGGCCCCAGGCAGCGCGGUGUCAGAGGUGACCGGUGGAACGCCAGUGUUAUGUAAAUAGCGGGACCUGCCCGGCGGGCAAGCUGGCUGGCUGAAGCCAUCCAUCAUCCCAGCUCGGCGGGGCGGGGGACAGACACGGCACCGUGCGCCUGACUCCAAACCUGUUUGUUUUCCCUUUGUCUCACGCGGUUCGGGCCUGGCUGUGACCGGCUCCGGGUUUUGUCCUGCCGGCCCCCUCCCCCGGGAGGACGGGGGGAAGGGAGGAGAUUCGCGGCUCCCACCGCGGCAUCCCUUUGGGACUUCAAAGGCUCCCCCAGCAUUGUCUGUGCCUGCGGGCAGUGGCCCUGAAAACGUGAUCAGAGGCGGCCAGUGUAGGGCAGGCCCGGCCCGCGCCCUGCGCUCUCGCUGGGGCCCGUAGAUUCCUCCCUUUGCCGCCAGCUCCACCCUGGUUACAGCUCCGCUCCCCGGGCCUCUGUCCUUGCCUUCCUCUCCCCUGGCGUCCCUUCUGGCCCGCCUGGCCCACUGCUGCCCAUCCCAUCCCCUUGGCGUCGGCGGCAGGACACCUCUGGGUGGCGUUGAGAGCCCUAGGACGCGGAGAGCUCCGGGUCAGCCCCGCCGGCCCCUUCGUAUCCUCAUGAGGAUUGCACGCCAAGUGAAGGGCUUCCAGGCAGGCUAGGUGCUGGGCCAGUUCCUGGACAGGGGCUGCCCGUACCAGCGCUUGUUCUCUUUUUUUUAUCCAUCCUCUGCUGGUAACAAGAGCCUCUGCCCAGCCCUCCCUCCGCUUCUUGGCAAGGUCCAGAUUGGACACUCUGUCCCCAGGCGGCAGGACGGCAUCCUGGGUAUUCAAAGUCAGCCCUAGGUGCUUCCGUUCUCUGGAAGCCCACUGCCUAUUUUUGUAAAUAAAGUUUUAUUGGAACAUCA